This is a long non-coding RNA of Arabidopsis thaliana (thale cress), 246 nucleotides long. RefSeq annotates it as other RNA. The record is from RefSeq. The transcript has a single exon. Lineage: Eukaryota; Viridiplantae; Streptophyta; Magnoliopsida; Brassicales; Brassicaceae.
UUCAUAGGCUCUACAACAUUGCUGUUACUUUGAAGGGUCUUCUCACUUUUCUUUGAUUUUCCUUUCGACAGGGGAUCUUGAAAUGCCUUCGAUACCUUCACUCUACCUUUUCGCUGUACUGACGUCAGUGAUUCUUUAGUAGCAUUCUUACUUGUUAAUCUUUCAACAUCUGUACCAGAAAGCCUUUUACCAAAUCCCUUCACUGGUGAUAUCACUUCAUUAUUGAUAGCCACACAUACAUCUUUU